CCUACGGGGGGCUGCAGUGGGGAAUAUUGCGCAAUGGGCGAAAGCCUGAUGCAGCGACGCCGCGUGAGGGAUGAAGGUCUUCGGAACGUAAACCUCUGUCAGCAGGGAAGAAAGGUCACUGUGCUAAUCAGCAGUGAAUUGACGGUACCUGCAAAGGAAGCACCGGCUAACUCCGUGCCAGCAGCCGCGGUAAUACGGAGGGUGCGAGCGUUAAUCGGAAUUACUGGGCGUAAAGCGCUCGUAGGCGGUAUGUCAAGUCAAGGGUGAAAGCCCCGCGCUCAACGUGGGAACUGCCUUUGAAACUGGCAAACUGGAGUGUGUGAGAGGAUAGUGGAAUUCCAGGUGUAGGAGUGAAAUCCGUAGAUAUCUGGAGGAACAUCAGUGGCGAAGGCGACUAUCUGGCACAUAACUGACGCUGAGGAGCGAAAGCGUGGGUAGCAAACAGGAUUAGAUACCCGAGUAGUC
This 465-nucleotide ribosomal RNA is filed under the name uncultured bacterium. Its description in RNAcentral is "partial 16S ribosomal RNA". It matches the Rfam family "Bacterial small subunit ribosomal RNA", at positions 338 to 795 of the family's 1533-position model. The record is from RNAcentral.